Molecule: ribosomal RNA, 1162 nt
Filed under: Bacillus subtilis
Lineage: Bacteria; Bacillati; Bacillota; Bacilli; Caryophanales; Bacillaceae
Description: bacterial SSU rRNA
Rfam family: Bacterial small subunit ribosomal RNA
Source: RNAcentral
GAUCGGACACACAAUGGACGGACCCUGUCUAGCAGUGAUCAGUCACGCAGCGUGUGCACCUGAAUGUUAUGGGCCUAUUGAAUAACACCGCCUAUUCGUACGAGCAGCGUAGGCAUCCUCGCCAUGAACGAAGUCGAGAGAACGCCGCUUGAUGAUUAGUUUCGGAUCGUAAGCUUGUGUAGGAAAGACAACUACGUCGAUAGGCCGUACUGACGUACUAACAAAAGCAGACUACUACGUGCCGCAGCUGCGUAUAUGUAGCUGCUAGUCGUAGUCAGACUCAUGGGCGUAAGUGGCUCGCCGGCCGUUUCAUAAGUAUGAUGUGACAGCCCCCCGGCUCCACCGGGGAGGGUCAUUGAAACUGGGGAACGUGAGUGCAGUAGAGGAGAGAGGCACCUCCCACGAGUAGCGAUGAAUUGUGUAGAGAUGUGGAGGAACACCGAGUGGCGACGGCGACUCUCUGGUCUGUAACUGACGUUGAGGAGCGAUAGCGUGGGAGAGCGAACCGGAUGAGAUACCGUGGUUGUCCACGCUGUAAACGAUGAAUGCUAAGUGUUAGGGGGUCUCCGCCCUUUAGUGCUGCAGCUAACGCAUUAAGCACUCCGCCUGGGGAGUACGGUCGCAAGACUGAAACUCAAAGGAAUUGACGGGGGCCCGCACCAGCGGUGGAGCAUGUGGUUUAAUUCGAAGCAACGCGAAGAACCUUACCAGGUCUUGACAUCCUCUGACAAUCCGAGAGAUAGGACGUCCCCUUCGGGGGCAGAGUGACAGGUGGUGCAUGGUUGUCGUCAGCUCGUGUCGUGAGAUGUUGGGUUAAGUCCCGCAACGAGCGCAACCCUUGAUCUUAGUUGCCAGCAUUCAGUUGGGCACUCUAAGGUGACUGCCGGUGACAAACCGGAGGAAGGUGGGGAUGACGUCAAAUCAUCAUGCCCCUUAUGACCUGGGCUACACACGUGCUACAAUGGACAGAACAAAGGGCAGCGAAACCGCGAGGUUAAGCCAAUCCCACAAAUCUGUUCUCAGUUCGGAUCGCAGUCUGCAACUCGACUGCGUGAAGCUGGAAUCGCUAGUAAUCGCGGAUCAGCAUGCCGCGGUGAAUACGUUCCCGGGCCUUGUACACACCGCCCGUCACACCACGAGAGUUUGUAACACCCGAAGUCGC